Molecule: ribosomal RNA, 590 nt
Filed under: uncultured Burkholderia sp.
Lineage: Bacteria; Pseudomonadati; Pseudomonadota; Betaproteobacteria; Burkholderiales; Burkholderiaceae
Description: bacterial SSU rRNA
Rfam family: Bacterial small subunit ribosomal RNA
Source: RNAcentral
UCGGGUUGUAAAGCACUUUUGUCCGGAAAGAAAACUUCGGGGCUAAUACCUCUGGAGGAUGACGGUACCGGAAGAAUAAGCACCGGCUAACUACGUGCCAGCAGCGCGGUAAUCGUAGGGUGCGAGCGUUAAUCGGAAUUACUGGGCGUAAAGCGUGCGCAGGCGGUCUGUUAAGACAGAUGUGAAAUCCCCGGGCUUAACCUGGGAACUGCAUUUGUGACUGGCAGGCUAGAGUAUGGCUGAGGGGGGUAGAAUUCCACGUGUAGCAGUGAAAUGCGUAGAGAUGUGGAGGAAUACCGAUGGCGAAGGCAGCCCCCUGGGCCAAUACUGACGCUCAUGCACGAAAGCGUGGGGAGCAAACAGGAUUAGAUACCCUGGUAGUCCACGCCCUAAACGAUGUCAACUAGUUGUUGGGGAUUCAUUUCCUUAGUAACGUAGCUAACGCGUGAAGUUGACCGCCUGGGGAGUACGGUCGCAAGAUUAAAACUCAAAGGAAUUGACGGGGACCCGCACAAGCGGUGGAUGAUGUGGAUUAAUUCGAUGCAACGCGAAAAACCUUACCUACCCUUGACAUGGUCGGAACCCUGGUG